Molecule: transfer RNA, 64 nt
Filed under: Atractolytocestus huronensis
Lineage: Eukaryota; Metazoa; Platyhelminthes; Cestoda; Caryophyllidea; Lytocestidae
Description: tRNA-Phe
Source: RNAcentral
UUUUCUUUAGCUUAAAUUAAAGCGUUAGCUUGAAGUACUAAGUAUAGCUGUGUGCUAGGAUGGA